GGGACGUUUACAGCAGCGGCAGUAGGAAGUAAAAGAUUUGGAGCGUGAUUUUUGGUUUUACUUUUGAAAAGUUUAUUUGAUCUAACGAGAUCUCUUUCGAGUCAUCUCAAAUAUGUUAGAGUAUUCGAUUGAUCAUCGAUUGCUUUUGAUGGAAUGAUGGUAUGGAAUGUUAUAAAUUCAUGUUUUAAAAGUUAUUAUAUUGUUUUGGACGCACGUAUCCUACUGAGUAUAAAUUACUCACUCCUUCCAUUUUAACUUUUCAGGUCAGAUUGGUCAACGUGGAUGGUGGCUGAGUGGUGCGCAGGUUGCCAA
Molecule: long non-coding RNA, 312 nt
Organism: Olea europaea var. sylvestris
Lineage: Eukaryota; Viridiplantae; Streptophyta; Magnoliopsida; Lamiales; Oleaceae
Exons: 2
Source: RefSeq, a predicted model, not a curated record